AUUGAACGCUGGCGGCAGGCUUAACACAUGCAAGUCGAGCGGGGUGAUGGUGCUUGCACUAUCGCUUAGCGGCGGACGGGUGAGUAAUGCUUAGGAAUCUGCCUAUUAGUGGGGGACAACAUCUCGAAAGGGAUGCUAAUACCGCAUACGUCCUACGGGAGAAAGCAGGGGAUCACUUGUGACCUUGCGCUAAUAGAUGAGCCUAAGUCGGAUUAGCUGGUUGGUGGGGUAAAGGCCUACCAAGGCGACGAUCUGUAGCGGGUCUGAGAGGAUGAUCCGCCACACUGGGACUGAGACACGGCCCAGACUCCUACGGGAGGCAGCAGUGGGGAAUAUUGGACAAUGGGGGGAACCCUGAUCCAGCCAUGCCGCGUGUGUGAAGAAGGCCUUAUGGUUGUAAAGCACUUUAAGCGAGGAGGAGGCUCUUUUGGUUAAUACCCAAGAUGAGUGGACGUUACUCGCAGAAUAAGCACCGGCUAACUCUGUGCCAGCAGCCGCCGUAA
RNAcentral lists this ribosomal RNA (503 nucleotides) under uncultured bacterium. Its description in RNAcentral is "partial 16S ribosomal RNA". It matches the Rfam family "Bacterial small subunit ribosomal RNA", at positions 30 to 523 of the family's 1533-position model. The record is from RNAcentral.